Molecule: long non-coding RNA, 776 nt
Filed under: Vulpes vulpes (red fox)
Lineage: Eukaryota; Metazoa; Chordata; Mammalia; Carnivora; Canidae
Description: lncRNA (ENSVVUG00000016901.1)
Source: RNAcentral
GCAAGGAGUAGUUAGGUGGUUUGGGACCACUCAGCCCCCACCUUUCUCAGCAGCCCUUGAGGUCAACCAAAUGGCUAAACUGAAGAGCAACUUGGCAGCUAGUCAGAUAGGGGGUGGGGGGAAGAAGGGAGGAAAAGACUUGAAUUUUAACCGCCUCACCAGGGAUCUGACUCCCUGACAAUGAACAUUUAGAAGAUCCAUGCUGUGAUGGUGGUCUGUCCCUGGGAGAAGAUAAAUUUUCUUUUCCUUAUCUUCAUCCAGUGAUUCAAUUAAUGCAAAAACAAACUAAAACAACUCCAAUUGGUGUUUUCUGGGAGGGGCUGUGGAACACAGGGUUCCAGCCUAAGAGGAGCUCAUAGUCUAGUGCCUUCUUUAGGCUAUCAGCCUUGUACCCACCACUCCCUCACCUCGGCCUCUGAUAGAGGAGUAGUUGGAGACCGCGCCAGGGGAGCCACAGACAGAGAAAGCUAUGCAGAGCAGCCGAAUGAGCCACUAUGGGAAUCAGGAUUUCCUAACACAGGACAGGAAAUAUAGAGAAGGGACAUUCCUGUUUCCAUCUGCAUGUUUAAAUAUCAAAUGUGGGCAGUCCGGGUGGCUCAGCAGUUUAGCGCUGCCUUCAGCCCAAGGCGUGAUCCUGGAGACUCAGGAUCGAGUCCCAUAUUGGGCUCCCUGCAUGGAGCCUGCUUCUCUCUCUGCCUGUGUCUCUGCCUCUCUCUCUCCGUGUCUCUCAUGAAUAAAUAAAUAAAAUCUUAAAAAAAUAAAAAUAAAUAAAUAUC